AGUGAACGCUGGCGGUAGGCCUAACACAUGCAAGUCGAACGGCAGCACAGUAAGAGCUUGCUCUUACGGGUGGCGAGUGGCGGACGGGUGAGGAAUACAUCGGAAUCUACUUUUUCGUGGGGGAUAACGUAGGGAAACUUACGCUAAUACCGCAUACGACCUACGGGUGAAAGCAGGGGAUCUUCGGACCUUGCGCGAUUGAAUUAGCCGAUGUCGGAUUAGCUAGUUGGCGGGGUAAAGGCCCACCAAGGCGACGAUCCGUAGCUGGUCUGAGAGGAUGAUCAGCCACACUGGAACUGAGACACGGUCCAGACUCCUACGGGAGGCAGCAGUGGGGAAUAUUGGACAAUGGGCGCAAGCCUGAUCCAGCCAUACCGCGUGGGUGAAGAAGGCCUUCGGGUUGUAAAGCCCUUUUGUUAGGAAAGAAAAGCAGCAGGUUAAUACCCCGCUGUUCUGACGGUACCCAAAGAAUAAGCACCGGCUAACUUCGUG
Molecule: ribosomal RNA, 492 nt
Filed under: uncultured bacterium
Lineage: Bacteria
Description: partial 16S ribosomal RNA
Rfam family: Bacterial small subunit ribosomal RNA
Source: RNAcentral